RNAcentral lists this ribosomal RNA (664 nucleotides) under uncultured Gammaproteobacteria bacterium. RNAcentral describes it as "bacterial SSU rRNA". It matches the Rfam family "Bacterial small subunit ribosomal RNA", at positions 35 to 697 of the family's 1533-position model. The record is from RNAcentral. Lineage: Bacteria; Pseudomonadati; Pseudomonadota; Gammaproteobacteria.
GCUGGCGGCAGGCCUAACACAUGCAAGUCGAGCGAGAAAGCCCUUCGGGGUGAGUACAGCGGCGGACGGGUGAGUAACGCGUAGGAAUCUACCCAGUAGUGGGGGACAACUUGGGGAAACUCAAGCUAAUACCGCAUACGCCCUAUGGGGGAAAGCGGGGGACCUUCGGGCCUCGUGCUAUUGGAUGAGCCUGCGUCGGAUUAGCUAGUUGGUGGGGUAAAGGCCCACCAAGGCGACGAUCCGUAGCUGGUCUGAGAGGAUGAUCAGCCACACUGGAACUGAGACACGGUCCAGACUCCUACGGGAGGCAGCAGUGGGGAAUAUUGCGCAAUGGGGGCAACCCUGACGCAGCCAUGCCGCGUGUGUGAAGAAGGCCCUAGGGUUGUAAAGCACUUUCAAUUGGGAAGAAAAGCUGCAGGUUAAUAGCCUGUAGCCGUGACAUUACCUUUAGAAGAAGCACCGGCUAACUCCGUGCCAGCAGCCGCGGUAAUACGGAGGGUGCGAGCGUUAAUCGGAAUUACUGGGCGUAAAGCGCGCGUAGGCGGUUGAUUGAGUCGGAUGUGAAAGCCCUGGGCUUAACCUGGGAACUGCAUUCGAUACUGGUCGACUAGAGUACGAGAGAGGGAGGUAGAAUUCCACGUGUAGCGGUGAAAUGCGUAGAUAU